AACCUAGCACACCUGCGGUGUGUACCUGCGGAAGGAUCAUUACCGAGUUUACAACUCCCAAACCCCUGUGAACAUACCUAUACGUUGCCUCGGCGGAUCAGCCCGCGCCCCGUAAAAAGGGACGGCCCGCCCGAGGACCCCUAAACUCUGUUUUUAGUGGAACUUCUGAGUAAAACAAACAAAUAAAUCAAAACUUUCAACAAUGGAUCU
This 210-nucleotide unclassified non-coding RNA is filed under the name soil metagenome. RNAcentral's name for it is "partial contains 5.8S ribosomal RNA, internal transcribed spacer 2, and large subunit ribosomal RNA". The record is from RNAcentral.